AAAUUGAAGAGUUUGAUCAUGGCUCAGAUUGAACGCUGGCGGCAGGCCUAACACAUGCAAGUCGAACGGUAACAGGAAGCAGCUUGCUGCUUCGCUGACGAGUGGCGGACGGGUGAGUAAUGUCUGGGAAACUGCCUGAUGGAGGGGGAUAACUACUGGAAACGGUAGCUAAUACCGCAUAAUGUCGCAAGACCAAAGAGGGGGACCUUCGGGCCUCUUGCCAUCGGAUGUGCCCAGAUGGGAUUAGCUUGUUGGUGGGGUAACGGCUCACCAAGGCGACGAUCCCUAGCUGGUCUGAGAGGAUGACCAGCCACACUGGAACUGAGACACGGUCCAGACUCCUACGGGAGGCAGCAGUGGGGAAUAUUGCACAAUGGGCGCAAGCCUGAUGCAGCCAUGCCGCGUGUAUGAAGAAGGCCUUCGGGUUGUAAAGUACUUUCAGCGGGGAGGAAGGGAGUAAAGUUAAUACCUUUGCUCAUUGACGUUAUCCGCAGAAGAAGCACCGGCUAACUCCGUGCCAGCAGCCGCGGUAAUACGGAGGGUGCAAGCGUUAAUCGGAAUUACUGGGCGUAAAGCGCACGCAGGCGGUUUGUUAAGUCAGAUGUGAAAUCCCCGGGCUCAACCUGGGAACUGCAUCUGAUACUGGCAAGCUUGAGUCUCGUAGAGGGGGGUAGAAUUCCAGGUGUAGCGGUGAAAUGCGUAGAGAUCUGGAGGAAUACCAGUGGCGAAGGCGGCCCCCUGGACGAAAACUGACGCUCAGGUGCGAAAGCGUGGGGAGCAAACAGGAUUAGAUACCCUGGUAGUCCACGCCGUAAACGAUGUCGACUUGGAGGUUGUGCCCUUGAGGCGUGGCUUCCGGAGCUAACGCGUUAAGUCGACCGCCUGGGGAGUACGGCCGCAAGGUUAAAACUCAAAUGAAUUGACGGGGGCCCGCACAAGCGGUGGAGCAUGUGGUUUAAUUCGAUGCAACGCGAAGAACCUUACCUGGUCUUGACAUCCACGGAAGUUUUCAGAGAUGAGAAUGUGCCUUCGGGAACCGUGAGACAGGUGCUGCAUGGCUGUCGUCAGCUCGUGUUGUGAAAUGUUGGGUUAAGUCCCGCAACGAGCGCAACCCUUAUCCUUUGUUGCCAGCGGUCCGGCCGGGAACUCAAAGGAGACUGCCAGUGAUAAACUGGAGGAAGGUGGGGAUGACGUCAAGUCAUCAUGGCCCUUACGACCAGGGCUACACACGUGCUACAAUGGCGCAUACAAAGAGAAGCGACCUCGCGAGAGCAAGCGGACCUCAUAAAGUGCGUCGUAGUCCGGAUUGGAGUCUGCAACUCGACUCCAUGAAGUCGGAAUCGCUAGUAAUCGUGGAUCAGAAUGCCACGGUGAAUACGUUCCCGGGCCUUGUACACACCGCCCGUCACACCAUGGGAGUGGGUUGCAAAAGAAGUAGGUAGCUUAACCUUCGGGAGGGCGCUUACCACUUUGUGAUUCAUGACUGGGGUGAAGUCGUAACAAGGUAACCGUAGGGGAACCUGCGGUUGGAUCACCUCCUUACCUUAAAGAAGC
This 1554-nucleotide ribosomal RNA is filed under the name Shigella dysenteriae. Its description in RNAcentral is "bacterial SSU rRNA". It matches the Rfam family "Bacterial small subunit ribosomal RNA". Lineage: Bacteria; Pseudomonadati; Pseudomonadota; Gammaproteobacteria; Enterobacterales; Enterobacteriaceae. The record is from RNAcentral.